RNAcentral lists this ribosomal RNA (1308 nucleotides) under Triticum aestivum (bread wheat). RNAcentral describes it as "partial small subunit ribosomal RNA". The record is from RNAcentral. Lineage: Eukaryota; Viridiplantae; Streptophyta; Magnoliopsida; Poales; Poaceae.
CGGUAAUCUCUCACAUAUCCGUUCGCCCUCCAAAAACCUUGCCGUCGCUCCCACGCGUAGCACCGGUCCUCCUUCCACCUUCCCCUUCCACCCAUCUGGCCUUCCCGCCCGCCUCUCCCCCGAUCCCCACGCAUCUCCUCCGGUGGCCGCCUUCGGCGAGUGGAAUCUGUUCCUCACUGGCUCGCUGCAUUCUUCCCCUGUGGGGUGUUGGUGUGGGGAUGGGAUCUGACAGGAUCGGGAUGAGGAGGCGGCUGCGAGGUACACGCUCUGGACGCCGCGCGUGUAUGCGCUCAUUGCCGAGGCCGAUGCCGCUCUUUCUGGAGGCUGACGCAGCUCUUACUGGAAGAAAUCCCACGGGGUCAAGCGGGGUGACGAGGGCACCUACAUCCUUUCAUGUUUGGGCGCUGGAGGGCGACGGGAGUCAUCGAUUCGCCGUCUGGCUACUGCACUAGGGGACUGCGGCUGCUACAAAAGAUGCAGCAAUCGAAAGAUGCACAGGUACUUGAUGAGAUGCCACUAAGUCAGUUUGCUAUCUCAGGUUAUAUUGGACGGUAAUUUAUUUUACAAUACAACUACAUCUUUCUUGAAUCAGACUCGGCCUAUUUCUGUGCAAUUUUGUUCUAUAGCUAUUUUUUUGGUGGCUUUCUUUGUUUUGCUUUAUGUUGUAUAGUCAGUACAAAACUCAAGCCCCAUCAUCUGACAAUUCUGUAGUAAUGACUGAAACUAUUCGAGGACAAAUCUUCGAUUGUUGUUGUCGUUGGAAAUUAGAGUUGCAUGGUUGGCAUGGUCAACAUGGCAAAGAAAGUAUAGAAGAUUUGCCAAACCAGGUAUGGGCUUGUAGAGUACCUCAGGUAAUCAGAUUCUGCACCCAAAUUUAAUUUUACUUGCUUUUAAAUGAUUCUAGGGCACAUGAUGUUGAUAUGCUAGAUUGUGUUGUAGUUUAUGCUUGUCUGAUUAUGUAUAUUUUCUUACAGAACGUCAUAUUUCUUUUUUGAGAAAUUAUAUAGGUGUAGGCUGAGCAUGGACGUUUGCGCUGUUGUGUGUGUUGAGGUCAAUCUCAGUUUGGUACACAGCAGAGCUAAGGGCGUGCACUUGCCAAAUAUGGUGUAUGUCGGACUUUCCCCAUUUAUUUUUUCUCACACCAUACGAGAAUUAUACAGCUAAAUAUAUCGAGAUUAACAUUAGUUUCCCCUGCUGAAGCUUGUGCAAUUGUAUUUAUGUUGAGCAGAGAAUUGGUCAACAAUAAAGGAGAACAAGAAUUGUAUUUUGUAUUACUAUUUUUAUACAAACUUUCUUCCCACACCAUUA